This is a long non-coding RNA of Vitis vinifera (wine grape), 533 nucleotides long. RefSeq lists it as uncharacterized. The transcript is spliced from 2 exons. Lineage: Eukaryota; Viridiplantae; Streptophyta; Magnoliopsida; Vitales; Vitaceae. The record is from RefSeq and is a predicted model, not a curated record.
GUCUCUCUCUCUAUAUAAACCCUACGAACUUCUCCUUGCUUCCCCAUCAAGUCACAGCUGUUUACCCUCUCCUAUGUACUGAUCAAGAGCAUAAAAAAAAGGCUCAAGAAUGAGGUUCCUGGCACUUGCUCUAGCUUUGAUGAUGGUGAGCUCUUGCAUGGCCGCAAACAUGAAAACUUUUAUGGUGGGAAUGCAAGAGAGGCAACUUGUUGAGACGAGCUAUGAAGAAGACAAAGGUGUGAACAACCACCAUACCAUCCCUAGGCAGGACUUCAAUAACUAUGGUGGCAGUGGCUCCAAAGGGGGCGGGGGCGAUGGCGAUGGUGGCAAGAAAAACUAGUAUGUCUUUACUAGCUAGUAUGUCUUAGUCAUUAUAGUUGGGGUGAUUGUGAUCAUAUGCGAGUAGAGAGAAUAUGAUAAUGGUUUGUGUUUUGGGCUUUGGAAGUGUUGCUGUAAUGUAUUAAUUAUGGGUCCUCCUAGGAUUACUAAGAGCUUGACAGUAAUUAUGAAAUGAAAUAUUGGGUUUUAUUGUA